GCCUGCGACGACCAUUAAGAAGGGUGCACGUCCCUUCCCUCCUCCUCCCUGUGACGCUGGAACUGGGAUCAGCGCCUCUCUUCCUGACCAAGACGUAAGCUCCAGAGGGCAAGGAGGGCGCCUGCACUGCAUCCCAGCGCCAGGGGCCUGAUGAAUGAGUGAAUGAAUGAGGGACACCUCCUUGUCAGCCCAGCACACAGUAGGUGGGCAGCAGAUGGUCACGAUGGCCACUUUCAACUCUGCAGCCUUGGUAGAGACCCUGGCAAGCUGGGGUGCAGCAGAGCGGAAGCCGGAUCACCUGGGGUUGAGCUGCAGUUGGUGACACGGAACCUGAUCUCCCAGACGAAUGGAUCCUGGAAAUGAUCCCUCACUUGGCCUGUCCUGGCUGGGCUGCCCAGGCAGUAUGGCCCUGCAUGGCUCAGGGGACGGCCAGGACGUCCUGUGGCGGGUUUUCUCGGCUGUGAUUUGGACCAUGUUUUUUCCCUUCUAAACAACUACUCUGGAAAAAGGGACUCUGACUUUGAACGCGCUGGCCCCAGUUGUUCCGCUUCUGUCCGCAAACAGCACCCCCUCCCCGCCUGGCCCCAGUGGCUCAGCCGAGUGUUUCCAGACCAAACGGCAGCCGGGGGUCACCCUGAGGCAUCAUGGACUCAAGCUCAGAGAGGUCAGGAAACUUGCCCGAAGCCACACAGCUGUAAGCGGCGGGGCAGGGCCUGGACGGCAGCGCUGUGUGACCACUGGGUGAAGAAGGCCGAAAGGUCCCAGGUUCUAGUCCACGUCUGUGGACCGGCGUUCAGGAGCGACCUUUCUGCACACGAAGG
This 821-nucleotide long non-coding RNA is filed under the name Equus asinus (donkey). RNAcentral's name for it is "lncRNA (ENSEASG00005027014.1)". The record is from RNAcentral. Lineage: Eukaryota; Metazoa; Chordata; Mammalia; Perissodactyla; Equidae.